Felis catus (domestic cat) is the source of this 432-nucleotide long non-coding RNA. RefSeq lists it as uncharacterized. Lineage: Eukaryota; Metazoa; Chordata; Mammalia; Carnivora; Felidae. The record is from RefSeq and is a predicted model, not a curated record. The transcript is spliced from 2 exons.
AUGUGAGGACACAGCAAGAAAAUGGCCACCUAUGAACCAGGAUGUGGGCUCUCACUAGAUGCCGAAUCUGCUGGCAUCCUGAUCUUGAACUUUCUGGGCCCCAGAACUGUGAGAAAUAGCCACUCAGUUAUGGUAUUCUGUUGUUACAGCAGCUCAAAUGCCUUCAACUGAUCGGAUGAGGCUCACCCACAUUAGGGAGAGCAAUCUGCUUUGCUUGGUCUACCACUUCAAAUGUUUAUCUCAUCCUAAACAUCCGUACAGACACACCCAGAAUAAUGAUUGACCAAAUAUCUGGGCACUUUCUGGCCCAGUCAAGUUGACGCACAAAAUCAGCUGUCACACAACUCUUGGAGUCAAAGAGGAAACCAAAACUUCAGAUGUUCUUGAAAAUAAAGUUUUAUGAGAACACAACAUAUCAGAAUUGAUGAAACA